CCCAUUAGAAGAAGGCUUUGGAGAGGGUGACGAGGAGGUUUGCCAGACGGUGCCUGGGUUUCAGGGAGAGACUGGAUAGACUUUGAUUAUUUUCCCCAGAGGCUAGAGGGUGAGGGGGGACUUGAUAAGGAUUAUGAUGUAACGUUAUGAGAGCCGUGGACAGAGCAGACAGCCAGAACAUUUAUGCCAGGAUUAGAGGGCACAGCUUUAAGGUGA
Long non-coding RNA from Amblyraja radiata (thorny skate), 216 nucleotides. RefSeq lists it as uncharacterized. NCBI's taxonomy places the organism in Eukaryota, Metazoa, Chordata, Chondrichthyes, Rajiformes, Rajidae. The record is from RefSeq and is a predicted model, not a curated record. The transcript is spliced from 3 exons.